AUGAACAUUGCUCUACUGACUAGGUGGCUCUGGCGGAUUGCAAACGGAGAGGGAGGCUUAUGCCUCCACGUAAUCCAGCAGAAAUACCUCCAUGGUCAGCCACUAGCCUUCUGUCAGUGGUCUGGUGGCUCCCAGUUCUGGCAAUCCAUCAUACAGCUCCUCCCAAUCCUCCGCAUAGGGACUUCGAUUGCGGUUGGAACUGGCACCGCCACGCUAUUUUGGUUCGAUCAAUGGCCUGGGGACGCACCGUUCGCGGCCCGCUUUCCUGGCUUGUUUGCCAUUGCGGUUGAGCCGCGGAUAUCUGUCGCGGCGGCCCUUAUUAACUUAGGGAAACUUGCACUCCGGCGACCAUUCGGACCUGCGGAGAUCGCCUGACAUGACUUGCUUGACUGCAUCGCGCUGCAUGAGCCUGAUCUAGAUAUGGGAGAUGACAACACUAGGUGGCGACUAGAGCCAUCUGGCCAAUUCUCCACUAAAUCCCUCAACCAGGCGAUCGCCCCCUCCCCGGGGCCUGAGGCUCUCACCACCAUUUGGGAGAUCUGGCUCCCCUUGAAGAUUAGGAUAUUCAUGUGGCAAUGGAUCUAUGGCCUCCUUCCGUCCGUCGUGGAGGUCUUGAAGCGCACCGGCCCUGGUGACGGGCGCUGCCCGCUAUGUGGGCCUGAAGAGGAUUUUAACCAUAUCUUCUUCAUGUGUGUGUCCGCGCAGUUCCUCUGGAGUGUGGGUGGCAGUUGGGAUCACAACAACUUCCGCGCUCUCUUCGCCAAACUUCAGGCAUUACCACCCUCGUCUCGCCACAUUAGGUGGCUGACCAUCGGUGUGCUAGCCUGGACACUAUGGACUGUUAGGAAUAGGCUCGUAAUUCAGCGUAUACCUCUUCGUCGCGCUACUGAUGCUCUGUUUAAAUGGUCUGGUUACUUGCAGCUUUGGCGGCCGCUAAGCCGUCCCAGGAGAGAGACGCCAUCACCUCCAUCAUCACCCAUCUUCGUGCGAUGGCUCUCCGGAUGGCUCCGCCGGUCCCUCCUACCACCAUUGGAUCCGGAUUAG
Molecule: ribosomal RNA, 1044 nt
Filed under: Triticum aestivum (bread wheat)
Lineage: Eukaryota; Viridiplantae; Streptophyta; Magnoliopsida; Poales; Poaceae
Description: partial small subunit ribosomal RNA
Source: RNAcentral